GGGCAGCAGUGAGGAAUAUUGGUCAAUGGGCGCAAGCCUGAACCAGCCAUGCCGCGUGCAGGAUGACGGUCCUAUGGAUUGUAAACUGCUUUUAUACGAGAAGAAACACUCCAACGUGUUGGAGCUUGACGGUAUCGUAAGAAUAAGGAUCGGCUAACUCCGUGCCAGCAGCCGCGGUAAUACGGAGGAUCCAAGCGUUAUCCGGAAUCAUUGGGUUUAAAGGGUCCGUAGGCGGUUAGAUAAGUCAGUGGUGAAAGCCCAUCGCUCAACGGUGGAACGGCCAUUGAUACUGUUUAACUUGAAUUAUUAGGAAGUAACUAGAAUAUGUAGUGUAGCGGUGAAAUGCUUAGAGAUUACAUGGAAUACCAAUUGCGAAGGCAGGUUACUACUAAUGGAUUGACGCUGAUGGACGAAAGCGUGGGUAGCGAACAGGAUUAGAUACCCUAGUAGUC
This 452-nucleotide ribosomal RNA is filed under the name uncultured Flavobacterium sp. RNAcentral describes it as "bacterial SSU rRNA". It matches the Rfam family "Bacterial small subunit ribosomal RNA", at positions 346 to 795 of the family's 1533-position model. The record is from RNAcentral. Lineage: Bacteria; Pseudomonadati; Bacteroidota; Flavobacteriia; Flavobacteriales; Flavobacteriaceae.